GUGAACCUGCGGAAGGAUUCUUGUCGAACCCUGCAAGGCAGAACGACCUGUGAACAUGUAAUUACAAUUGGUUGAUGUGGAGACGGGCCCUGGUCCUUAUCCCCAUCUCCCCCCGGUGUGUGUUUUUGGUGCCUCUUUUGGGGAGCCAUUGAUGCAUGCUGGACUAUAACAAAACCCCGGCACGGAAUGUGCCAAGGAAAACAAAAGAUGAGAAGUACGCGUAUCGUGUUGCCCCGUUUGCGGUGUGCAUGCGGUUCGUCGAUGCUCUAUAAACUAUAAACGACUCUCGGCAACGGAUAUCUCGGCUCACGCAUCGAUGAAGAACGUAGCAAAAUGCGAUACUUGGUGUGAAUUGCAGAAUCCCGUGAACCAUCGAGUUUUUGAACGCAAGUUGCGCCCGAAGCCAUUCGGCUGAGGGCACGCCUGCCUGGGCGUCACGCAUCGCGUCGUCCCCCACCAUCUUACCCAACCGGUUAUUAUGGUCACGGGGCGGAGAUUGGUCUCCCGUACUUGUUGUGGUUGGCCUAAAAAGGAGUCCCCUUCAGCGGACACACGACUGGUGGUGGUUGAACAGACCCUUGUCUUUAUCGUGUGUGGUGAGCUGCUAGGGAAGCCCUCAUCAAGACCCCAACGUAUAGUUUUAGGACG
RNAcentral lists this ribosomal RNA (648 nucleotides) under Picris abyssinica. RNAcentral's name for it is "eukaryotic LSU rRNA". The stretch from base 282 to 437 matches the Rfam family "5.8S ribosomal RNA". Lineage: Eukaryota; Viridiplantae; Streptophyta; Magnoliopsida; Asterales; Asteraceae. The record is from RNAcentral.